Molecule: ribosomal RNA, 495 nt
Filed under: uncultured bacterium
Lineage: Bacteria
Description: partial 16S ribosomal RNA
Rfam family: Bacterial small subunit ribosomal RNA
Source: RNAcentral
GCGGUAGGCCUAACACAUGCAAGUCGAACGGCAGCACAGAGGAGCUUGCUCCUUGGGUGGCGAGUGGCGAACGGGUGAGUAAUGCAUCGGAACGUGCCCGAUCGUGGGGGAUAACGCAGCGAAAGCUGCGCUAAUACCGCAUACGAUCUGAGGAUGAAAGCGGGGGACCGUAAGGCCUCGCGCGAUCGGAGCGGCCGAUGUCAGAUUAGGUAGUUGGUGGGGUAAAGGCCCACCAAGCCGACGAUCUGUAGCUGGUCUGGGAGGACGACCGGCCAACCUGGGACGGAGACACGGCCCAGACUCCUACGGGAGGCAGCAGUGGGGAAUUUUGGACAAUGGGCGAAAGCCUGAUCCAGCAAUGCCGCGUGCAGGAAGAAGGCCUUCGGGUUGUAAACUGCUUUUGUACGGAGCGAAAAGGUCCUUUCUAAUACAAGGGGCUCAUGACGGUACCGUAAGAAUAAGCACCGGCUAACUACGUGCCAGCCGCCGCAGUAA